Molecule: ribosomal RNA, 494 nt
Filed under: uncultured bacterium
Lineage: Bacteria
Description: bacterial SSU rRNA
Rfam family: Bacterial small subunit ribosomal RNA
Source: RNAcentral
ACUCAAAGGAAUUGACGGGGGCCCGCACAAGCAGUGGAGUAUGUGGUUUAAUUCGAAGCAACGCGAAGAACCUUACCAGGUCUUGACAUCCAAUGAAUCCUGUAGAGAUACGGGAGUGCCCUUCGGGGAACAUUGAGACAGGUGGUGCAUGGUUGUCGUCAGCUCGUGUCGUGAGAUGUUGGGUUAAGUCCCGCAACGAGCGCAACCCUUAUCAUUAGUUGCUACGCAAGAGCACUCUAAUGAGACUGCCGUUGACAAAACGGAGGAAGGUGGGGAUGACGUCAAAUCAUCAUGCCCCUUAUGACCUGGGCUACACACGUACUACAAUGGCAGGAAACAGAGGGAAGCAAUACCGCGAGGAGGAGCAAAUCCCUAAAAACUGUCCCAGUUCGGAUUGCAGGCUGCAACUCGCCUGCAUGAAGUCGGAAUUGCUAGUAAUCGCGAAUCAGCAUGUCGCGGUGAAUACGUUCCCGGGCCUUGUACACACCGCCCGU